CUGAGUUCAUGCCCUUACGGGUAGAUCUCCACACCCUUGAAUAUCUAAACCUUUGUUGCUAUUGGCGGGCCGCUUCGGCUACCGGGCUCCGGCUGGUGAGUGCCCGCCAGAGAACCUUAAACUCUGAAUUACAGUGUCGUCUGAGUACUAUAAAAUAGUUAA
This 162-nucleotide unclassified non-coding RNA is filed under the name soil metagenome. RNAcentral's name for it is "partial internal transcribed spacer 1". The record is from RNAcentral.